CCACAUUUUGCUUGCUCCAAUACAAUUACACAUUUUUGCAUCUUCUCUUCAACAGGAUUCAAGAGAGUCAUGAAACUGUUGUUCCUGGUUAUGUGCUCCAUUGGACUGUGUUCCUCCCUUCCGGUAUCCAAGGAGGUCCAUGAUAGAGAGGAACGCUCUUCAAGUGAU
Osmerus eperlanus (European smelt) is the source of this 168-nucleotide long non-coding RNA. RefSeq lists it as uncharacterized. The transcript has 3 exons. The record is from RefSeq and is a predicted model, not a curated record. NCBI's taxonomy places the organism in Eukaryota, Metazoa, Chordata, Actinopteri, Osmeriformes, Osmeridae.